AAUUCUUUCAGAUGCUGAGCAGAGGGAGGGAGGCGGUACAGAAACAGGACGUGCUCUGGGCCGCCGGGGAGAUGGAGGGCACAGGGAACGCGGCGGCCUGAGAUCACGAGGGGACGCAAAGGAACAGGAGUAACUUUUUAAGGAACACACCGAGCAGAUGGAGGUGUUAUGCCUGGGCCACUUGUAAAUCACCUAUUAAAUGUUGUGCUUAAAGAUAAUCAUAAAGGGCCUGGUGGAAGCAGGGAGAAUCAGAUGUGGUUUGGAUUCCAGCUUCUUAACCCACUAUCGCUCGGGUGACCCCGUUAUCUCCUGGAACCUCAGUUUCCUCAUCUGUGAAACUAAGAAGAAAGAACACAAAGGAUCCGUGUCUGGAAUGAGAGUAGACAUGGCUAGAGAUUCUGCAGACAUCAAACGAGGAAGGGAAUGUUAUAAACAACUUUAUGCCAGUACAGUGAAUGUUUAGAUACAAAAAGUUCUCUGAAAGGCAAAAGCAGCAAAAAUGGAUUCAAGGGGGAAAAGAAUAUUUUAAUGCCUUUAAUCCCUGAAAGAAGUUUAAAAAAAAAAAAUCUGAUUCUGAGCCCUGUUUCUGGCACAUGGUAGGUAGGUGUCUAACACACACAGCCGUUAUCAUGCACUUAUUCCAAACAAUGAUGUCAAUAUUUCAUCAUCUUCAGAAACACCUUACAUUAUAAGGGGAAAAAAAAUCUGUUUCACCAUUAAACUCUCCUAUACCUACUUCCACCCCCACUAGCAUCCAAAGACAUCAUCUACUUUAUCUCAUCAUCUACUUUAUCUAUUAGGCUCGAUACAAAAGACUUUCACUUGUUACUAAAAAUAUGCUGCUCACUUGCCUUGGAAGAGGAUGCCCAGAGGAAUGUACUGCAGCUUUAGACUGCUUGGCAAUAUCCCAGGAGAACAGAACACGCCCCCAGACUCGGGUCCUGGUCCUCUCCAUUCCUCAUGAAGAGCUGUCUGAUGGAUUCUUCAUUUCCCCUGUCACCGUGGCAGGGGCACAGGGCUCAGGAUUUUCAUACAUUUGUUCAUUCACGCCUGCGUUUAUCCUGAACUUCCCAGCAAUGUGGAGUCAGAAGACCUGGGCCUGGAUGCGGCCCCUGCCACCAACCCACCGUGUCACUUUCGUCAGGUCUCAGCUGCACCCCGGGCUCAGUUUGUUCCUGUGCCGAAGCGGAGGUGGGGGUGGUGGACCUGGUGGACACACUCCUCGCCUCCAUCAGAAAGGCCUUGGGAGCGCCGUCCAGGCGGGGUCCAGGUGGGCUCCAGGACGCCCGACUUCAGGCUGGAGCGAAACUUGA
This 1313-nucleotide long non-coding RNA is filed under the name Capra hircus (goat). RNAcentral describes it as "lncRNA (ENSCHIG00000001702.1)". The record is from RNAcentral. Lineage: Eukaryota; Metazoa; Chordata; Mammalia; Artiodactyla; Bovidae.